This 157-nucleotide ribosomal RNA is filed under the name uncultured bacterium. RNAcentral describes it as "partial 16S ribosomal RNA". It matches the Rfam family "Bacterial small subunit ribosomal RNA", at positions 338 to 508 of the family's 1533-position model. The record is from RNAcentral.
CCUACGGGAGGCAGCAGUGGGGAAUAUUGCACAAUGGGGGAAAACCCCUGAUGAGCAGCGACGCCGCGUGGAGGAAGAAGGUCUUCGGAUUGUAAACUCCUGUUGUUGAGGAAGAUAAUGACGGUACUCAACAAGGAAGUGACGGCUAACUACGUGC